Molecule: ribosomal RNA, 484 nt
Filed under: uncultured bacterium
Lineage: Bacteria
Description: bacterial SSU rRNA
Rfam family: Bacterial small subunit ribosomal RNA
Source: RNAcentral
AUUGAACGCUGGCGGAAUGCUUUACACAUGCAAGUCGAACGGCAGCACGGGGGCAACCCUGGUGGCGAGUGGCGAACGGGUGAGUAAUACAUCGGAACGUGCCCAGUCGUGGGGGAUAACGUAGCGAAAGUUACGCUAAUACCGCAUACGAUCUACGGAUGAAAGCGGGGGACCGUAAGGCCUCGCGCGAUUGGAGCGGCCGAUGUCAGAUUAGGUAGUUGGUGAGGUAAAGGCUCACCAAGCCGACGAUCUGUAGCUGGUCUGAGAGGACGACCAGCCACACUGGGACUGAGACACGGCCCAGACUCCUACGGGAGGCAGCAGUGGGGAAUUUUGGACAAUGGGCGCAAGCCUGAUCCAGCCAUUCCGCGUGCAGGACGAAGGCCUUCGGGUUGUAAACUGCUUUUGUACGGAACGAAAAGGCUCUGGUUAAUACCUGGGGCUCAUGACGGUACCGUAAGAAUAAGCACCGGCUAACUACGUG